UACGUAGGGGGCAAGCGUUAUCCGGAUUUACUGGGUGUAAAGGGGGCGCAGACGGCGAUGCAAGCCAGGAGUGAAAGCCCGGGGCCCAACCCCGGGACUGCUCUGGGAACUGUGCGGCUGGAGUGCGGGAGGGGCAGGCGGAAUUCCUGGUGUAGCGGUGAAAUGCGUAGAUAUCAGGAGGAACACCGGCGGCGAAGGCGGCCUGCUGGACCGCGACUGACGUUGAGGCUCGAAAGCGUGGGGAGCAAACAGG
RNAcentral lists this ribosomal RNA (253 nucleotides) under uncultured bacterium. RNAcentral's name for it is "partial 16S ribosomal RNA". It matches the Rfam family "Bacterial small subunit ribosomal RNA", at positions 524 to 776 of the family's 1533-position model. The record is from RNAcentral.